CCAAUCUUAUAAAUCGUGAAGAAGAAGUCGAGUGUAGGCUCCACACCUAAUUCAUGGCAGAAGGCGAUGAAGGCCAAGAUGUGUAUGUAGGAAUUUGGCACCAGUUGGGUGAACCCAACACCCAGAAACCCUAGUAUGGUUACUAUGAAGGCAUGAAGGGGGAAUCGGAUACCCUUCUCCAAGAUAGUUACCGGGACAGCCGUACAUCCCUCUGGUCGUUGGUACAUCCGCUCCUCUGACCUAGGAGCUCUCACCAAAUGGGUGUCAGGGAUAUGGCAGCGAGCUCGGAUCCUCUUCAAAUCUAUUUCAGUGACAGUCGAUGGAG
RNAcentral lists this long non-coding RNA (325 nucleotides) under Panax ginseng (ginseng). Its description in RNAcentral is "long non-coding RNA (PGIN_LNC014630)". The record is from RNAcentral. Lineage: Eukaryota; Viridiplantae; Streptophyta; Magnoliopsida; Apiales; Araliaceae.